CGAAGGCCGGGGCGCCAAGUUCGUCCAGCGGAAAAAGGCCACAAAAACGGGUGGGCCAUAGCCAUGGGGGGGGGGUCUGGCCUUCUUCGUCCGCCGGACUCGGAAUGCCGCGAGACUUUGCGAGGGGCCUCCGUGUGCCAAAAAUAGGCCGCGGUCAAUGCCGAGCCAAAAAAUAACCGUCCGAAUGCCGGGGCGCCAAGUUCGUCCAGCGGAAAAAGCCCACAAAAACN
Molecule: long non-coding RNA, 230 nt
Filed under: Citrus x clementina
Lineage: Eukaryota; Viridiplantae; Streptophyta; Magnoliopsida; Sapindales; Rutaceae
Description: Citrus clementina (C. clementina) long non-coding RNA (CCLE_LNC000046)
Source: RNAcentral